UGAUCUGCCUACCAUGGUGAUAACGGGUAACGGGGAAUCAGGGUUCGAUUCCGGAGAGGGAGCCUGAGAAACGGCUACCACAUCCAAGGAAGGCAGCAGGCGCGAAAAUUACCCACUCCCGGCACGGGGAGGUAGUGACGAAAAAUACGAAUACGGGACUCAAUCGAGGCUCCGUAAUUCGAAUGAGUGCAAUCUAAAUCCUUGAACGAGGACCAAUUGGAGGGCAAGUCCGGUGCCAGCAGCCGCGGUAACUCCAGCUCCAAAAGCGUAUAUUAAAGUUGCUGCAGUUAAAAAGCUCGUAGUUGGAUCUGGGUCGUGCGUUCACAUGUCGUUGUUUGGUUCUGGCUUCGGUCGGUUUCGAACGAUGAUGAGGUGGUCGCGCAGCCUUUCUGCCGUGUCUGCGUGAGCAGGUGUUGGCUGGCCGGUGGGCUUGCUUGCUGGUCAGUUGGCAUGUUUCCUGAUGCCUUUAAACGGGUGUCGGGGGCGUACGGCACUUUUACUUUGAACAAAUUUGAGUGCUCAAAGCAGGCCCAUGUGCCUGAAAAGUCUUGCAUGGAAUAAUGGAAUAGGACUUCGGUUCUAUUUUGUUGGUUUCCGGAUCCGAAGUAAUGGUUAAGAGGAACAGACGGGGGCAUUUGUAUGGUGGCGUGAGAGGUGAAAUUCUAUGAUCGUCGCCAGACAAACUACAGCGAAAGCAUUUGCCAAGAAUGUUUUCAUUGAUCAGGAGCGAAAGUCAGAGUUUCGAAGACGAUCAGAUACCGUCCUAGUUCUGACCAUAAACGAUGCCAACUGACG
RNAcentral lists this ribosomal RNA (795 nucleotides) under Bolbophorus damnificus. RNAcentral's name for it is "SSU rRNA". It matches the Rfam family "Eukaryotic small subunit ribosomal RNA", at positions 333 to 1051 of the family's 1831-position model. Lineage: Eukaryota; Metazoa; Platyhelminthes; Trematoda; Strigeidida; Bolbophoridae. The record is from RNAcentral.